CCAUACCAGCCGGGGACAUAGCGGAGCCUUGUACCUGCAAUCCGCUAAAGCAGGGGUGGUAUCCUUUUAAGAGGGUCGGAUCUGUGCAGUCUGCGCCGUGUUGUGAGGUGUUGACGGAUGGGUCUUGCGCAAUAGGAAGCCGUGAACCAUGUCAGGUGGGGAACCAAGCAGCAUUAAGCGGUCGUUUUUCUAUGUGCCGCGAGGGUGCCUGUCCUGAGCCAAGCUCAUGGUGGCGUGUGUGGGUGCGUCUCGAAUUUAGGGUGUAUGG
This 268-nucleotide signal recognition particle RNA is filed under the name Clostridia bacterium. Its description in RNAcentral is "signal recognition particle sRNA large type". It matches the Rfam family "Bacterial large signal recognition particle RNA". Rfam says of the family: The signal recognition particle (SRP) is a universally conserved ribonucleoprotein involved in the co-translational targeting of proteins to membranes. Archaeal SRP consists of a 7S RNA and homologues of the eukaryotic SRP19 and SRP54 proteins. The record is from RNAcentral. Lineage: Bacteria; Bacillati; Bacillota; Clostridia.